Molecule: ribosomal RNA, 249 nt
Filed under: uncultured bacterium
Lineage: Bacteria
Description: partial 16S ribosomal RNA
Rfam family: Bacterial small subunit ribosomal RNA
Source: RNAcentral
CUUGGUGACUGAGUGGCGGACGGGUGAGUAACGCGUAUGCAACCUGCCCGAUACCGGGGUAUAGCCCAUGGAAACGUGGAUUAACACCCCAUAUACUUUUAUCCUGCCUGGGAUGGGAGUUAAAUGUUCAAGGUAUCGGAUGGGCAUGCGUCCUAUUAGUUAGUUGGCGGGGUAACAGCCCACCAAGACGAUGAUAGGUAGGGGUUCUGAGAGGAAGGUCCCCCACAUUGGAACUGAGACACGGUCCAA